GAUGAAGAACGUAGCGAAAUGCGAUAAGUAAUGUGAAUUGCAGAAUUCAGUGAAUCAUCGAAUGUUUGAACGCACAUUGCGCCCGUCAGUAUUCUGGCGGGCAUGCCUGUUCGAGCGUCAUUACGCCCCUCAAGUCCCCUGUGGACUUGGUGUUGGGGAUCGGCGAGGCUGGUUUUCCAGCACAGCCGUCCCUUAAAUUAAUUGGCGGUCUCGCCGUGGCCCUCCUGUGCGCAGUAGUAAAACACUCGCCACAGGAGCCCGGCGCGGUCCACUGCCGUAAAACCCCCCAACUUUUUAUAGUUGACCUCGAAUCAGGUAGGACUACCCGCUGAACUUAAGCAUAUCAAUAAGCGGAGGA
RNAcentral lists this unclassified non-coding RNA (358 nucleotides) under soil metagenome. RNAcentral describes it as "partial contains 5.8S ribosomal RNA, internal transcribed spacer 2, and large subunit ribosomal RNA". The stretch from base 1 to 120 matches the Rfam family "5.8S ribosomal RNA", at positions 35 to 154 of the family's 154-position model. The record is from RNAcentral.